UACGUAGGGGGCGAGCGUUGUCCGGAUUUAUUGGGCGUAAAGAGCUCGUAGGCGGUUCGAUAAGUCGGAUGUGAAAUCUCCACGCUUAACGUGGAGGGUGCAUUCGAUACUGUCGUGACUCGAGUCCGGUAGGGGAGUGUGGAAUUCCCGGUGUAGCGGUGAAAUGCGCAGAGAUCGGGAGGAACACCCGUAGCGAAGGCGGCACUCUGGGCCGGUACUGACGCUGAGGAGCGAAAGCGUGGGGAGCAAACAGG
RNAcentral lists this ribosomal RNA (254 nucleotides) under uncultured bacterium. RNAcentral describes it as "partial 16S ribosomal RNA". It matches the Rfam family "Bacterial small subunit ribosomal RNA", at positions 524 to 776 of the family's 1533-position model. The record is from RNAcentral.